Molecule: ribosomal RNA, 252 nt
Filed under: uncultured prokaryote
Description: partial 16S ribosomal RNA
Rfam family: Bacterial small subunit ribosomal RNA
Source: RNAcentral
ACGUAGGAGGCAAGCGUUAUCCGGAGUUACUGGGCGUAAAGGGCGUGCAGGCGGUUGGCUAAGUUCGUUGUGAAAGCGCCCAGGCUUAACCGGGCGAGGACAAUGAAGACUGGUCAGCUAGAGGACGGUAGAGGGGUGUGGAACUUCUGGUGGAGCGGUGAUAUGCGUAGAUAUCAGAAGGAACAUCGGCGGCGAAAGCGACUCUCUGGCCCGUAACUGACGCUGAGGUGCGAAAGCUAGGGGAGCAAACGG